This is a long non-coding RNA of Cotesia glomerata, 504 nucleotides long. RefSeq lists it as uncharacterized. The transcript has 2 exons. Lineage: Eukaryota; Metazoa; Arthropoda; Insecta; Hymenoptera; Braconidae. The record is from RefSeq and is a predicted model, not a curated record.
CACUGGAUCUCAUAAUAUAAUAUAAUAUUAUAUUAUAUGGACAUUACGCGUCCCGAUGUUAUAAAUUUCAUGAUACUUGUCAGUUACAACACAACACAGCUCUAUUCAUAGUCGCAAUAAGUAUAACCAUAAAUCGUAAGUGCAGUGGUAAUUGUAUCGAUAACCGUGAGAGCUCGAGUGCUUGGUUUAAACGCUUGCAAUUCAUUCUAAUGCAAGUAAUAUAAUCGAGAGGAGGUUCAGGUUAUAAGUUACAAGUUCUAACGCUCCAAUUGACCACUAGGUGAAACUGGCGGCCAAUGCCAACAGUGCAGGGAUUGGUAGAGCCGAAAAAAAGUGAAAUCAGAUAAAUAGUUGCGGUUUUAUAAAAAAAUCGCUUUUUAAAAAGAUAAAGAAUGGAAAAAAUAAAGGACAAGCAUUUAUAUAUAAUGGAUAGAGGUGAGCCGACGGUACUUCCGGUGGACACCACCCGGAACACAAAUUCACUAGAGCGUAUAUAUCAACUGG